AAUUCUUAAUUUGGCUUAAUUACAUGGCGCACGAGAAACUAGUAGAGCGAGGUGGAGCAGGUAUCCUAUCCCCGGAAGUGCAUGCUUAUUUAUUUAUUUAUUUUUAUUAAUGGAUGAGGCAGUACUAUGUAUAUGUACACACACCAUACAUAGAUCUAUGUAAGGAAGAAGAAAUUCCUAACAAACAAGAGCCGGAAGCAUGCAUGCACUUGUACAGGAAGGAUCCUAACUACUAGGAGCUAGGCCAAAGUGAUCAUUAUUAGGCUAGUUUAAGCAGCACACUUGACGCAGGUGCAGCCAGUGCCGCACUUGCAUUGAACCUUGCCAGUAGCGGCAGUGGUGCCCUCACUCUUGGAACAUGUGCACGGAUUGCACCCACAGUGUUCUCCACAAGAGCACCUCUUGUGCUCCAUGUUCGCAUCACCCCCUGACACACACCUGCAUAUAUAUAUAUAUGGAGUAUAUUUCAAUCAGUGAGUGAAUAGAACUAUUCCUAUUAGAGAUCGAUCGAGUAGUAUAAAAUAUACCUGCAAGCAAUGCCACCGGGGCAGGGAGAAGGACAGCCACACCUUUCAUCGCAAAUAGCAGCACUUCCUCUUAGGUCAGCCAUAUCUCAGGCGGAGGCGGAUACUACUUAAUUAGUAUUAAGGGGGGAUAUGGGAAGCU
This 666-nucleotide long non-coding RNA is filed under the name Nicotiana tabacum (common tobacco). RNAcentral's name for it is "long non-coding RNA (NTAB_LNC013831)". Lineage: Eukaryota; Viridiplantae; Streptophyta; Magnoliopsida; Solanales; Solanaceae. The record is from RNAcentral.